AAGUCGUAACAAGGUUUCCGUAGGUGAACCUGCGGAAGGAUCAUUAACACGUAUCCAACGUUAAAACAACCCUGUGAACCUUCAGCGUGUUCUUGCAGGACAUCUAAAGAAUUACAGAUUUUGAUUUUGGGAAGUUCUGUGUGUACGUGGACGCUGCAAUUGAGCGCUAGCUAAAGCACUUCUGGUACCCUAGAGCACUCCCCUGUCUGAAAGCGCAGGGAUCAAUGUUCAGGGUAGCGCUGUCAACGAUCGCUGUAGGUCCACACGACCAGCGACCGGGGUGGAGGCGAAAGACUUGGCGAAAGCUGACUCCGUCAUAAAUCGAACAACUGUUAACAAUGGAUAUCUUGGUUC
Molecule: unclassified non-coding RNA, 354 nt
Filed under: fungal sp.
Lineage: Eukaryota; Fungi
Description: partial internal transcribed spacer region
Rfam family: Eukaryotic small subunit ribosomal RNA (bases 1-46)
Source: RNAcentral